Molecule: ribosomal RNA, 681 nt
Rfam family: Eukaryotic large subunit ribosomal RNA
UUCCCCUAGUAACUGCGAGUGAAGCGGGAAAAGCUCAAAUUUCGAAUCUGGCGGUCCCGAAAGGCCGUCCGAGUUGUAAUCUAGAGAAGCGCGUUCGGUGCUGGCCCGUGUACAAGUCUCCUGGAAGGGAGCGUCAUAGAGGGUGAGAAUCCCGUCUCUGACACGGACCACCAGGGCCAUGUGACGCGCUCUCGACGAGUCGAGUUGUUUGGGAAUGCAGCUCAAAACGGGUGGUAAACUCCAUCUAAAGCUAAAUACUGGCGAGAGACCGAUAGCGAACAAGUACCGUGAGGGAAAGAUGAAAAGAACUUUGGAAAGAGAGUUAAAGAGUACGUGAAAUUGCUGAAAGGGAAACGCUUCACGUCAGUCGCGUCGGGCAGGGAUCAACCUUUGCGAGCGAUCGCCGGGGUGCACUUCCUGCUCGACGGGUCAGCGUCAGUUUCGGUCGUCGUACAAGGGCGGAGGGGAACGUGGCACUCCUCGGAGUGUGUUAUAGCCUCUCGUCGGAUGCGUCGGCAGGGACUGAGGAACUCGGCACGGCUCCGUCCGUGUCUAGGACGCUGGCAUAAUGGCGUCAAGCGACCCGUCUUGAAACACGGACCAAGGAGUCCAACAUGCCUGCGAGUGUUCGGGCGGAAAACCCGAGCGCGCAACGAAAGUGAAAGUCGACACCUCCCUCAU